CAAAAAUAGUGGUGGAUCACUCGGCUCGUGCGUCGAUGAAGAACGCAGCUAGCUGCGAGAACUAAUGUGAAUGAAUGCAGUUUUAAAGAUAAUCAUGCUCAGAUUAAUCAGGUCAACGUUAACAAUGAUCUACAGUGUAAAUGUGUGUGC
RNAcentral lists this ribosomal RNA (150 nucleotides) under Labrus bergylta (ballan wrasse). RNAcentral describes it as "5.8S ribosomal RNA (ENSLBEG00000022836.1)". It matches the Rfam family "5.8S ribosomal RNA". From Rfam's summary of the family: 5.8S ribosomal RNA (5.8S rRNA) is a component of the large subunit of the eukaryotic ribosome. Lineage: Eukaryota; Metazoa; Chordata; Actinopteri; Labriformes; Labridae. The record is from RNAcentral.